CGGAGUAAGGCGUGCCGCUGCAAACUGGCCUCUGGGCCGGGGGCGAGCAGCCCCCGGGAGGCCGAGUGCAUCUGUUGGACCGUGCGAGGAGAAGAAAAAAAAUAUCGGCCAGAGGAGAGGAACUAACCGAACAUUCUUCCUCCCUACCUUAUAGAGGGGAGUGGUCAUCUACACUAAAGCAAAGUGUUAGGCGCGUCCGUGCGAAGAGACCACCAAACAGGCUUUGUGUUCCUUAUCACAGGAAGAAAAUUUUCCUUGACCUUUAGGUGCUUUUAUAUUCAUCUCAAAAACAAAAUUCUGAACUCAGGACUUGGCAAACCACCGCUGAAACUUCACUUCUACACAGAGGCUUUCUUUCCCAGAAACCCAGACCAGAUGGAGUUUCACUCUGUCGCCCAGGCUGGAGUGCAGUGGCACGAUCUCGGCUGACUGCAGCCUCUACCUGCUGGGUUCAAGCAAUUCUUCUGCCUCAGGUUCCUGAGUAGCUGGGAUUACAGCCAAAGCUGGACUGUACUGCUGCCAUCUCGGCUCACUGCAACCUCCCUGCCUGAUUCUCCUGCCUCAGCCUGCCGAGUGCCUGCGAUUGCAGGCACGCGCCGCCACACUUGACAGGUUUUCAUAUUUUUUUGGUGGAGACGGGGUUUCGCUGUGUUGGCUGGGCUGGUCUCCAGCUCCUAACCGCGAGUGAUCCACCAGCCUCGGCCUCCCAGGGUGCCGGGAUUGCAGACGGAGUCUCGUCUCGUUCACUCAGUGCUCAAUGGUGCCCAGGCUGG
This 773-nucleotide long non-coding RNA is filed under the name Homo sapiens (human). RNAcentral's name for it is "OIP5 antisense RNA 1". Lineage: Eukaryota; Metazoa; Chordata; Mammalia; Primates; Hominidae. The record is from RNAcentral.